RNAcentral lists this ribosomal RNA (474 nucleotides) under uncultured bacterium. RNAcentral describes it as "SSU rRNA". It matches the Rfam family "Bacterial small subunit ribosomal RNA", at positions 26 to 518 of the family's 1533-position model. The record is from RNAcentral.
AGGACGAACGCUGGCGGCGUGCUUAACACAUGCAAGUCGAGCGGAAAGGCCCUUCGGGGUACUCGAGCGGCGAACGGGUGAGUAACACGUGAGCAACCUGCCCUUAGCUUCGGGAUAGCUCCGGGAAACCGGAAUUAAUACCGAAUAUGACUUUUGCUGACAUCAGCAGAAGUGGAAAGUUUUUCGGCUAGGGAUGGACUCGCGGCCUAUCAGCUAGUUGGUGAGGUAAUGGCCCACCAAGGCGACGACGGGUAGCCGGCCUGAGAGGGCGACCGGCCACACUGGGACUGAGACACGGCCCAGACUCCUACGGGAGGCAGCAGUGGGGAAUAUUGCGCAAUGGGCGAAAGCCUGACGCAGCGACGCCGCGUGGGGGAUGAAUGCCUUCGGGUUGUAAACCCCUUUCAGCAGGGACGAAGCGAAAGUGACGGUACCUGCAGAAGAAGCGCCGGCUAACUACGUGCCAGCAGCCGC